This is a long non-coding RNA of Megachile rotundata (alfalfa leafcutting bee), 339 nucleotides long. NCBI's taxonomy places the organism in Eukaryota, Metazoa, Arthropoda, Insecta, Hymenoptera, Megachilidae. The record is from RefSeq and is a predicted model, not a curated record.
CAUCAGGCAAAAACAAUAAACGAUUGCUAACAUCCGUAAGAACCUGUCUUGAGAUCACUAAACUUACAUAUUCGUGUACAACUGUAAAAUCAAAUGAUUUAGUCUUAUGAUAUACUUAUAAGUAUAUUAAGAAAAGAGGAUAUAUUCAAAGAAAAUGUGACAUACUUGCUUCAAUGAAUAUCUUCAAAGCAUCAACCAUUUCUUCAUUGGACAAUAAUAGUAUCGAAUCCAACACCGCUCGAUACCUGCUUACUUUUCUGCUUGAUCUUUAUGAGAACCACCGGAACAUGCUACAUUCAUGAGCUGUUGACGUACAAAAGUCGCCGCCGUCACCACCAU